This 596-nucleotide ribosomal RNA is filed under the name uncultured Symbiodinium. RNAcentral's name for it is "partial Bacterial small subunit ribosomal RNA". It matches the Rfam family "Bacterial small subunit ribosomal RNA", at positions 918 to 1523 of the family's 1533-position model. The record is from RNAcentral. Lineage: Eukaryota; Dinophyceae; Suessiales; Symbiodiniaceae.
GGCCCGCACAAGCGGUGGAGCAUGUGGUUUAAUUCGAUGCAACGCGAAGAACCUUACCUACACUUGACAUACAGAGAACUUACCAGAGAUGGUUUGGUGCCUUCGGGAACUCUGAUACAGGUGCUGCAUGGCUGUCGUCAGCUCGUGUUGUGAGAUGUUGGGUUAAGUCCCGCAACGAGCGCAACCCUUAUUUUUAGUUGCCUUAUGGAACUCUAGAAAGACUGCCGGUUAUAAACCGGAGGAAGGCGGGGAUGACGUCAAGUCAGCAUGCCCCUUACACCCUGGGCUACACACGUGCUACAAUGGACGAGACAAUGAGAUGCAACUCUGCGAAGAUUAGCUAAUCUACAAACUCGUUCUAAGUUCGGAUUGUAGGCUGCAACUCGCCUGCAUGAAGUUGGAAUCGCUAGUAAUCGCUGGUCAGCUAUACAGCGGUGAAUUCGUUCCCGGGCCUUGUACACACCGCCCGUCACACCACGAAAGUCGGUAACACCUGAAGCCGGUGGGCCAACCUCUUGGAGGCAGCCGUCGAAGGUGGGACCGAUGAUUGGGGUGAAGUCGUAACAAGGUAGCCGUAUCGGAAGGUGCGGCUGGAU